RNAcentral lists this transfer RNA (62 nucleotides) under Mycopsylla fici. RNAcentral's name for it is "tRNA-Val". Lineage: Eukaryota; Metazoa; Arthropoda; Insecta; Hemiptera; Carsidaridae. The record is from RNAcentral.
AAGUAAAUAGCUAAAAAUAAGUAUAUUUUUUACACUAAUAAGAUAUCUAUUGAUUUUGCUUA